CACCGAUAAUAGCAAACUGCCGGUAACGGUAGGACGCAAAGCCACCGGCCCUCUGAUAAGAGGGCAGCGGGGAUGCCGAA
RNAcentral lists this non-coding RNA (80 nucleotides) under Nitrospirota bacterium. RNAcentral's name for it is "Nitrospirae bacterium c-di-GMP sequence". It matches the Rfam family "c-di-GMP-I riboswitch aptamer". From Rfam's summary of the family: GEMM was predicted in a large-scale screen for bacterial structured RNA regulatory elements. Genes associated with GEMM are involved in a diverse array of functions, including chemotaxis regulation, signal transduction, secretion and chitin. The record is from RNAcentral. Lineage: Bacteria; Pseudomonadati; Nitrospirota.